GCAAGUCGAGGGGCAGCAUGAACUUAGCUUGCUAAGUUUGAUGGCGACCGGCGCACGGGUGAGUAACACGUAUCCAACCUGCCGAUGACUCGGGGAUAGCCUUUCGAAAGAAAGAUUAAUACCCGAUGGCAUAGUUCUUCCGCAUGGUGGAACUAUUAAAGAAUUUCGGUCAUCGAUGGGGAUGCGUUCCAUUAGGUUGUUGGCGGGGUAACGGCCCACCAAGCCUUCGAUGGAUAGGGGUUCUGAGAGGAAGGUCCCCCACAUUGGAACUGAGACACGGUCCAAACUCCUACGGGAGGCAGCAGUGAGGAAUAUUGGUCAAUGGACGAGAGCCUGAACCAGCCAAGUAGCGUGAAGGAUGACUGCCCUAUGGGUUGUAAACUUCUUUUAUACGGGAAUAAAGUGAGGCACGUGUGCCUUUUUGUAUGUACCGUAUGAAUAAGGAUCGGCUAACUCCGUGCCAGCAGCCGCGGUAAUACGGAGGAUCCGAGCGUUAUCCGGAUUUAUUGGGUUUAAAGGGAGCGUAGGCGGACGCUUGAGUCAGUUGUGAAAGUUUGCGGCUCAACCGUAAAAUUGCAGUUGAUACUGGGUGUCUUGAGUACAGUAGAGGCAGGCGGAAUUCGUGGUGUAGCGGUGAAAUGCUUAGAUAUCACGAAGAACUCCGAUUGCGAAGGCAGCUUGCUGGACUGUAACUGACGCUGAUGCUCGAAAGUGUGGGUAUCAAACAGGAUUAGAUACCCUGGUAGUCCACACAGUAAACGAUGAAUACUCGCUGUU
This 777-nucleotide ribosomal RNA is filed under the name uncultured bacterium. Its description in RNAcentral is "bacterial SSU rRNA". It matches the Rfam family "Bacterial small subunit ribosomal RNA", at positions 57 to 824 of the family's 1533-position model. The record is from RNAcentral.